Molecule: long non-coding RNA, 1105 nt
Filed under: Buteo japonicus
Lineage: Eukaryota; Metazoa; Chordata; Aves; Accipitriformes; Accipitridae
Description: lncRNA (ENSBJAG00000008317.1)
Source: RNAcentral
AAAUGCCCCGUGUCUCUGCACCGUUAUCUAUUGCACUAUGAAUAUAUGUAGUCUACUUUACUUUAAGGAAUUAAUAGAAAAAUUUUCUAAGUGGACUCCUCUGUUGUAUCAGCUCAGAUGAGGCAUCUCUAACAGAGUUUAUCACAUUUUCUUGGAAACGUCCUGUCUUACUCUCAUUCCGGGAAGACCUGGGCCUCCAUCUUGUCCACGCUCUCCUGCGGGUCCGCUGGGGCCAGGAGGACCUGGACUACCACGUUCGCCUGCAGGACCCUAAAAAAGAGAUGUUGAAAUUCAGAGCAAGGGAAUCAGCAUCAUAAUGAAUCUGAAAUUGUCCAUUCAAGUUCACAUGGAUGCUCCAGAAGUUUGGGGUCUUUUUUAGAGGAAGACUUAUACCUUUUCACCUGGAAGUCCAUUGCUACCGGGGCUUCCACUUGUACCUGGAGGACCAGGAAGACCACGGCCUCCUGGCAGACCAGGAGCACCAGGAACACCAGCAGGUCCCUGUAGAGAGUGAAUGGCAGACAGGGAUGAAGAAAGCAUAGCAUCGUUGGACUCUGCCCAGCCCAAACAGUGACCUUCACCAACACAGCACAACAAUAGACAAUGAUAUGAAAAGUACCCACCAUUUCACCCUUGUUGCCAGGGCUUCCAGCUCUUCCAGGAGGGCCCUGAAAAAAAAAAAGUAUAAAUAACCAAUGCUGCUAACCUAGGACUAAACCAAAGGACGUGUAGGGCUUUGUGAAGAGCAGGUGGCACAACAUUUCUCAGUUCCCAUGUGGUAUUUAUGUACCUGAGGCCCGGGUGGCCCAGCAUUUCCCUGAGGACCAGGUUCUCCUCUCUCUCCAGGACUACCACUAGAACCAGCAGGACCAGGAGGACCAGCUUCACCCUACAGAAAAACAGUAAAGGGAGAAAUGAGUGCAUUUGAGUCUUGUCUCCAGGGCAAUCAGUAUUAGCGUCAUAAUUUCUUCCUCUACUGUGGCAUCUUUGCAUGAUUUGGGAAGAAGGUUACCACCAUCAUCACCUAAGUGCAAGAGCCAAAUAAGCACAGUGACCCUGGUGCUGAAGUACGAGUUACCCAUGGACUCCAGCCAGCACAUGCUGC